GGCACGUGAGGGUGUGUGUGGUGUGUGUGUGUGUGUGUGUGUGUGUGUUGGCACUGGAUUCUCCUCCCUGCUGCCUACCUCACCAGCCAGCCAGG
This 95-nucleotide microRNA precursor is filed under the name Choloepus hoffmanni (Hoffmann's two-fingered sloth). RNAcentral describes it as "miRNA (ENSCHOG00000014767.1)". The record is from RNAcentral. Lineage: Eukaryota; Metazoa; Chordata; Mammalia; Pilosa; Megalonychidae.